UAUCUAGACCAAUCUUUUAGCUAUCCUUCUACUCGCCUGCCUACCUUCAUCCUUAUUCUACCUUUGUUAGCUCGGAGCUUCUCUCUUGGCUAGCGAUCGUAAGGGCUUUGAGAGCAUUGUCAGCCUGAAGACGGACGGGCAAUCGCCUAAUCCAAAGGCAGUAACAGGAUGCGGCAGAGACGGUUCAGCGGCCCAUCGAAAGACGGUCCGGGCUGCGAAAAUGAAGACCCAGCCUUCGGGUAGUCCCACUUUCUGGUUCCCCUGAACACCUCAAUGCUAGAUCAGCCAUUAAAAUGCAUUAUAUAUAUAUAAAUUUUCCUUCUUCAUCACUAGUUAACGAAUGUUGGCUGUAACCGAUUGUUAACACUCAAUCAAGCACGACUUGAAAGUCAGGAUAGAUGAAUCUCUCAGUUAGUACGUUUUAAACAAGC
RNAcentral lists this long non-coding RNA (431 nucleotides) under Nicotiana benthamiana. RNAcentral's name for it is "long non-coding RNA (NBEN_LNC005085)". The record is from RNAcentral. Lineage: Eukaryota; Viridiplantae; Streptophyta; Magnoliopsida; Solanales; Solanaceae.